This 730-nucleotide ribosomal RNA is filed under the name uncultured Pseudomonadota bacterium. RNAcentral describes it as "bacterial SSU rRNA". It matches the Rfam family "Bacterial small subunit ribosomal RNA", at positions 8 to 733 of the family's 1533-position model. Lineage: Bacteria; Pseudomonadati; Pseudomonadota. The record is from RNAcentral.
AGAGUUUGAUCAUGGCUCAGAUUGAACGCUGGCGGCAUGCUUUACACAUGCAAGUCGAACGGGGUGAGGGGGCAACUCCUCAUUCAGUGGCGAACGGGUGAGUAAUGCAUCGGAACGUGUCCCGUAGUGGGGGAUAACGCCGCGAAAGCGGCGCUAAUACCGCAUAUGCUCUACGGAGGAAAGUGGGGGACCUGCAAGGGCCUCACGCUAUGGGAGCGGCCGAUGUCCGAUUAGCUAGUUGGUGGGGUAAUGGCUUACCAAGGCGACGAUCGGUAGCUGGUCUGAGAGGAUGAUCAGCCACACUGGGACUGAGACACGGCCCAGACUCCUACGGGAGGCAGCAGUGGGGAAUUUUGGACAAUGGGGGCAACCCUGAUCCAGCCAUGCCGCGUGCGGGAAGAAGGCCUUCGGGUUGUAAACCGCUUUUAGCCGGGAAGAAAAGGCUUGGGCUAAUACCCUGAGUUUUUGACGGUACCGGCGGAAUAAGCACCGGCUAACUACGUGCCAGCAGCCGCGGUAAUACGUAGGGUGCGAGCGUUAAUCGGAAUUACUGGGCGUAAAGCGUGCGCAGGCGGUUCGUUGUGUCUGUGGUGAAAGCCCCGGGCUUAACCUGGGAAUGGCCAUGGAAACUGGCGGACUGGAGUGUGGCAGAGGGGGGUGGAAUUCCGCGUGUAGCAGUGAAAUGCGUAGAGAUGCGGAGGAACACCGAUGGCGAAGGCAGCCCCCUGGG